RNAcentral lists this ribosomal RNA (473 nucleotides) under uncultured bacterium. RNAcentral describes it as "bacterial SSU rRNA". It matches the Rfam family "Bacterial small subunit ribosomal RNA", at positions 28 to 489 of the family's 1533-position model. The record is from RNAcentral.
GAUGAACGCUAGCUACAGGCUUAACACAUGCAAGUCGAGGGGCAGCAUGGUCUUAGCUUGCUAAGGCCGAUGGCGACCGGCGCACGGGUGAGUAACACGUAUCCAACCUGCCGUCUACUCUUGGACAGCCUUCUGAAAGGAAGAUUAAUACAAGAUGGCAUCAUGAGUUCACAUGUUCACAUGAUUAAAGGUAUUCCGGUAGACGAUGGGGAUGCGUUCCAUUAGAUAGUAGGCGGGGUAACGGCCCACCUAGUCUUCGAUGGAUAGGGGUUCUGAGAGGAAGGUCCCCCACAUUGGAACUGAGACACGGUCCAAACUCCUACGGGAGGCAGCAGUGAGGAAUAUUGGUCAAUGGGCGCAGGCCUGAACCAGCCAAGUAGCGUGAAGGAUGACUGCCCUAUGGGUUGUAAACUUCUUUUAUAAAGGAAUAAAGUCGGGUAAUGUAUACCCGUUUGCAUGUACUUUAUGAAUAA